Equus caballus (horse) is the source of this 1835-nucleotide long non-coding RNA. The record is from Ensembl. Lineage: Eukaryota; Metazoa; Chordata; Mammalia; Perissodactyla; Equidae.
CGAAGGGACACGGGAUGGAAUGGUAAUACCAUUGAUGAUGGACUUCAUAUGAUGAUUUUGAUGAACUCUGAAUUGUCUCAACUAAGGAAAACCGUUUGUAUAAUCAACCAUAAUUUACUGGAAACAAAACUUUGAGUCAAUCAGCAUGCCUUUCUAUAUGUUGGUAAAUUUCAAUAAAAAAUAUUUUUAAAAAAUCAUUUAGUUCUCCAAAGAAGAUCUAUCUGCAAAUGGCCAGUAAACACAUGAAAAACUGCUCUAUGUUACUAAUCACUAGGGAAAUGCAAAUCAAAACUACAAUGAGAUGCCACUUCAUAUCCAUUAGGAUGGCUACUAUCAAAAAAACAAUUGUUGUGGAGGAGGUGGAGAAAGUGGAAACAAUGUGCACUGUUGAUAGGAAUGUAAAGUGAUGCAGCCACUAUGGAAAACAGUACAGUGGUUUCACAGAAUUUUAAAAAAGAAUACAUAUCAUCUAACAAUUACAUUUUUGGUAUAUCCAAAAGAAUUGAAAACAACAUCUUGAAGAGGCAUUUGAAACCCAUGUUUGUAGCAACAUUAUUCACAAUAGCCAAAAGAUGGAAGCGAGCCAAGUAUCAAUUGACAAAUGGGUGGAUAAACAAAAUAUGGUAUAUAUAUACAAUGAUGGAUUAUUCAGACUUAAAGGAAAGAAAUUCUGGUACAUACUACAGCAUGGAUAAACCUUGAAGACGUAAUGUUAAGUGAAAUGAGCCAGUCACAAAAAGACAAAUGUCGUAUGACUCCACUAAUAUGAGAUACCUAGAGCAGUCAUAUUAUAGAGACAGAAAGAAGAGUGUUGGUUGCCACGGGUCGGGGGAAAGGGGGAAAAGGGAUGCACCAAGCUGAGGGAAAACCUCCUCUUGCCCAUCACCCCCUGCCCCUCCCACACGCAUCCCACACACGUGCGAACACUGGUUUAAUGCACAGCUGAACUGGAGAGAAAUCCCCAGCUGCCACAAAUGAGAGGGAGAGCAGCAAGCCCAUAUAGAGACCCAACAGCCCAUGGGAAUAUCAGAAGCGAAGCAGGGCUUCAGGGUGAGAAGUUAGUGUUUUAGUUGCUGAGAGAUAAAGCUCCCAGCCUUGCCUCUAGAACUGUGAAGUGCUAUUUAGGCUCUGAAAUAGGGGCAAGAAAAACUGGGCUGGGCUGGACUGGGCAAGCUGCUAAGUUCUGCUGCCCACUUGGGGCCCUGAAUAGAAGCAGUGUCACACAUGAGAAAGCAGAACCAGGAGCCUUCACUAUGGGGAAGCACGGGUUCUAAUUUCACACUGCCUUUGUGAAGCAUGAACGUGUUGAAAAACAUGAACACUGAGAAAAAGUGGGUCCCAAACUGGAGAUAUCCACAGAGCCACUUCAAACAUAAACAUGCCGUUGUCAGAACCCAGGACACAUGAGACUUGCUUGGAAAGCAACUCAGUAAAUAUGAGAUGACAGUCAAAAAUUACAGACUACAUCAAUUAAUGAAGGAAAGAAAGCCACCAAGUGUGACAAAUGGAAAAAUGAAUACCUAAAGAACCUUGUAUUACAAAUAAAAUUUUGAAAGAGAUUUUUAAAUAAUAUGUGUAAAAGAAAUAAAGAAGGUAGUAUAAUUGUUUCAAUUAUAUUGAAAGCUGUACACUUAUGAGUUGUGCAUUGUAUGUGUAUAUGUGUAUGUAAGUAUCCGUACAUGUAUAUACCUAAGUAUAUACUUAAGUAAAUUAAAAAAAAACCUUGGAAAACUAAAAUAACAUAAAAUAAAAGAUAAAUAACAUAGAAGGUGGUAUGGGAACUUCUAGAAAAAAGCCCUCUAUAUUCCUUUGUUUUUUUCAGAAACAAAUGGAGA